RNAcentral lists this ribosomal RNA (319 nucleotides) under uncultured eukaryote. Its description in RNAcentral is "partial 18S ribosomal RNA". It matches the Rfam family "Eukaryotic small subunit ribosomal RNA", at positions 1470 to 1796 of the family's 1831-position model. The record is from RNAcentral.
CCCUUAGAUGUUCUGGGCAGCACGCGCGCUACAAUGGUCUUCGCAAACGGAUGCAUUCUCGAAGGAGAAUGCCAAUCUUGGAAUCUAUGCCUUGGUCGGGACAGUUGCUUGCAAUUUUUCGACUCGAACCAGGAAUUCCUUGUAAUCGUGAUUCAUCACAUCACGAUGAAUACGUCCCUGCUCUUUGUACACACCGCCCGUCGCUCCUACCGAUCGAAGAGUUAGGUGAAUUGUUUUGAUCGAUAAGAUUUGACUAUGGUCAACUCUCGUUGUGAAAUUCUGUGAAUCUGACUGUUUAGAGGAAGGAAAAGUCGUAACA